AACGUAGGAGACAAACGUUAUCCGGAGUUACUGGGCGUAAAGGGCGUGUAGGUGGUUUUGUAAGUCUGGCGUGAAAUUUUUCGGCUUAACCGGGAAAGGUCGUCGGAUACUGCAGGACUAGAGGACGGUAGAGGCGUGUGGAAUUCCGGGUGUAGUGGUGAAAUGCGUAGAGAUCCGGAGGAACACCAGUGGCGAAGGCAACACGCUGGGCCGUACCUGACACUGAUGCGCGACAGCAUGGGGAGCAAACAGG
Molecule: ribosomal RNA, 253 nt
Filed under: uncultured bacterium
Lineage: Bacteria
Description: partial 16S ribosomal RNA
Rfam family: Bacterial small subunit ribosomal RNA
Source: RNAcentral